Molecule: long non-coding RNA, 4725 nt
Organism: Equus caballus (horse)
Lineage: Eukaryota; Metazoa; Chordata; Mammalia; Perissodactyla; Equidae
Source: Ensembl
CUCAGGAACUGGGUCACCAAGAAUACUUUAAGCAUCUUGGAAGCAGACUUCCUUUUCCCACUGGUGCCCAUGGAUUUCUUAGAGAUGGGCCACCGUGUUUCGAAUGACAUGUGCCAGCGAGGGAAGAGGGGAAGAAGGUCAGUUCCUUGCUCUCCUAUCCUAAGGAGGCUAGCACAGAUUUAGGGUGAGCUCCUGCUUGCUUCCAGGAGGGCAGCUUUCUAACAUGGGUCUACUUCACAUCCCUCUAUGAGAGCUGAGCAGGGGCCAGGAACCCCAACUCAUGAUGCUUGCUACUGGUGACAAGCCAGCCUCUCCCCAGUGCAGCUCCACCAGGCUGCAGGAGGUGUGCCAUCAGAGCCCUGCCUGAGACCCAGAAUGGGGGUCACUCUGCUUGCCCCUGAACCUUGGGACAGCUUCCUUCUCAUCCCUUGGCGAGGUGCCUGCCUGGUUGCAGUCGGAACAGAUAAAGUCUAAGUGAGGCCGGGGGUGGACUGUGAAAGGCCUGGUACCUCUCCAACCCUACACAUACACACACAUAAGGACACACAAACACACAUAGACUUACCUAUAUAUCCACAUAUGCUCACAGGCACAUAUGUGUGUGUGCAGAAAUACAUAAAUAAGACCUAUGCAUGGGUGCAAAAAUACCUAAUACAUGUGUGCACACACACCCACGGUUAUAUGCACACACACAUACAGACUGUGUAUGUCUGGGACUUGCCACUCUUGUUGAAGAGUGCCCACAGACAGGUACCCCAGAGGGGUUGUUACAGGCUGUUGGAAUCCAUGCUCCCCUCCCCCAGCCCUCCAGUCCCCUGAGCUCACCCUACUCUAUUGGCUGUUGCUAGGAUCUCCAUGGUGACAAGUUCUGGAUGGGAGGAAGCCCACCACUGCCUUCUUCCCAGCUGGGGGCUGCCAGGGCCUGGGUGAUGGCAGUACCCCAUGGGGAAGUUGUUGCCUGGAACAGCUCUGGUGCUGGGGAGCCACAUGCCUGUUGUUCAUCCUCCACUUGUCCUGCCCAGCUCUCUCCCUAGCGGUGACAGAGCAGACCCUGGCCAGCCUCCCCUUGUGGAUUCCCCAUGGCCACUUGCUUGAGAGUGUGCCUCUCCCAGCCACAAACCCAGCCAACUGGGGCCAGCCUGAGGAUGGAAAAUAGAGGACAAAUGUUCAUCACUCUCCACGCUUUGUCCCUGGCAGAUAUUACUAGUCAAUCAUAGCACUUUCUCUUGCUGAGCCGUUCCCUGGCCUCAAAAGCCUACCAAGCAGUCACGACCAGUUGAUUGAUUGUGGUAGACAAGGGACAUAAAACCUAUUUGCUAAGGCCCCAAUUCAUAGCCAGACCAGCUAUGGCCUCUCUGUCCCCACCCUCCUCACUUCACCUGACCUCCUCCUGCUCCCUACUGUGUGCCCCAGACACAGUGCCCCUGCCUCCACAUACUUCCUCAUUCCAUCCUCUGAAUCCAUCUCUAGCUUCUGAGGGGCCACCAUGGCCUCAGGAAGCCUGCCCUCCUGACCUCAACAGAAUCUGCUCCUUUUCCUAAUCCUCCCCUAUGGGGCCCAGUGUUUUUCAUCGUCUACCCAGUUAGGGGCAGUUCAGCCUCCAGGAGUCUGGAGUGGAGCAGGUCGGGAUCUCACCCCUGUGACUUCACCUAUGUAAGCCCCCCUUUCAUCAUUGGAAUCCCCCACAAGGUCACCUAGAGUCCUGGGGCCCGGUCAGGCCUUCCUCAUGUCCCCACCUGCCCUCCAUACCAAGUUCCCCUCGGCAAAUGGGGUUCCCCUAAGAGGAGAGGGUUUGCGGGGCUUGUUGGCCUCGGCAAGUGAGCACUUCAAGCUCUGCUCAGGGCUGACUUGGGAUUGGUAUCAAGCAGCCCUGGCACCUGUCCCGGCAUGAAGGCCACACCCUGAGUUACUCUCAUCCCAUUGCGGCUUUCACCUUCUCGGCCCUGCAUUCACCUCAGAUUCCCCAUUGAGGGGAGCAGAGCAGGGCUUGUCUGUCCAUUCUACAGAUGGGAAAGCUGAGGCUAGGAAGGGAAGUGUCUUGCCCAAGGGCCUGGCUCCAGCCCCAGCCAGUUACUCACCCAGUGGUCCUAGGUGAGUCAUGGUGCCCAGGUGAUGGGAAGGAAACAUAUAAACACGAGCAGUGGGAAGGGCACUCCAGGAGCUGGGCAGAUGUGCCUGCAUGGGGCUCCCAGCUCUGAACUCCCCCACACAGGCACCUAUGGGCUUACUGGGCAGGUGAAACCCUGACUGUCUCAAAUUGUGUUCCCUUCUGGCCUUAUGUCUCGGCUUGGCAUCAGCCUUGGGAGGGCUGUCAACCCACAUGACAGAUGGGGAAACUGAGGCCCAUGGUUAGAAAUCAAGCUGUGGCAGGGGACUGUGCCCCAGACUAAGAACCCAGAGCUCCUUCCCCCCAGCCUGGGGUCCCCAACUGGCUCUUACUAUGGUUCCAGGCUCCUGCAGGAAGAGACCCAAGCAUAGGCCACAGGAAGCCCCUUGCACUAGCAACUCUUUCCUAUCUCUGGGGUGGCAGGAGGCCAACGCUGGCAGAGUAGGGGACAGACUGGGGGCACGGGCAGCCACUCACCCCAUAAGGAGAAGGGGCUGUAUCCUUCCUGCAUGUAGUAUGUGUGCUAUCAAAUGCUCUCUCCACUUCCAUGGCAUACAUGGCUGAUCCUGCCCAGGACCCAGCUUCAGAACCUCUGCCCUCCACUGUCUCUACACAGUCCAGACCUCUGACCUCUCCCCUAGACCAUCUCACUAGGCUUCCAGCCCCUGCUCCAUCCCCACAGUCUAUUUCCCACACAGCAGCCAGAGAAAUCUUUUGAGAAUGGAAUCAUACCCGGCCCUCCCCUGCUCUGAAGCCUCCCAUUGUUGCAGAGAACUCCACUGGGUGGCCACGUGGCCCUUGGUGAUCUGGCCCUGCCCCUCCCCCCCACCUCCUCAAGUCCCUCAGGGUCCAGGAUUCUCUGGGUCCCUUCUCCUCUCUCUCUCUCUCACUCGCCUAGCCCAGGCCCCACAUCCUCCUGCCUGUUCUUUCUUCAGGGCCUUUGCUCUCAUUGGCCCCUCUGCUGGAAACUUCCUCCCCAGCUCUUUCCUUUGACUAGUUUCUUAUCCUUCUCCCCAAACCCACUUGUCCUCCAGAGCCAGAGAGGGCACCUGGGAAGUGGCUGAGCCAGAACUGGAACCCUAGCCUCCUUUUAGACUCUGUGUUGUCAGCCAUGAGCACAUGGUCCUGGGAUUUAAAAUGCUUUUGGCUUUCCCUUGCCACACUGGAGGAUUCCAGAAGCCUCUCACUUCCAUUCCCCACUUGGGCCUUAGCCCGUCCUGCAUGACCUGCCCAGAGUCACUCAGUGAGAUUCCCUGGAGCCAGGAGGCUCCUGGUCAUGAAGGGAUGGAUCCCUGCUCUCACCGGCCUCGUCCAUGGCCUCAGGCUAUAGGCCUCAAUUUCCCUCUUUCAGAGAGGGUGCUCCCUCUCCCAGCCAGGUGCAGCUCAUCCUUCCUCUGCAGAUUGAGCCAAAACACUCACUUCUAGGGGACUCUGGGGUCCCAAGCCUGGGUUCCAGUCCUGCAACCCACCAGCGGUGAGCCUGGAGGAGGGGCUGGGCUGGUGAGGGAGCCCCAUCUGCUGACACUGAGACCAUCCCUAGAGAGCCAGGAGAAGCAGCUCACCAGCCCUGGGAAACCAGGCAGGCUGGGUCUGAUUUCCCUGGGGCUCAGAGGAAGGCAGAGGAGAGAGGGAAAGGAUUCAGAGAAGACUAGCUGGGCCGGUUCCUUGCCCCAAGGCCAGUGAAGGCCAGAGCCCUUUCCUCUUGCAUCCCCCUCCCCAGAAUCUUUGCCCUGGGCUGAUCCCCCUCCCUCUUACAACACUCCAGGGCUUGUGGGCAGCACCUCAUGAGUCCACCUGGGGCUCUGAGGGAUAGAAACCAGGGAUUUGGGGGAGCAGGGGUCCUUCUGAUCCUUCUGAGGCCACCUCUGCCAGGAAGGGCCUGGAGCCCUGAUGGUUUGAGCAGGGGUAGGAGGCAGGAGGGCAUCUCUGGCAGGCAUUCCCAGACAGAGCAAAGGCAAAGAGCUGUGAUAGAGUCAGGUGUGGUGCCCUGGUUCUGUCUUUGCCAAACCAGCCUAUGGUUUUUUGAUUAGGAGAGCCAGCAGUGGCAGGCUCCUGACAGUAAAGCUAGCCCAAGCUUUGAGGCUGAGAGGGUGGAGGAAGCUGGGAAUUCCCAGGGCACCUGGCAGGCGGAUGUGCCAGGGGCCUGGGCUGGGUCUGCUUCAGGUGGGCCAAGGGGCGGGGCCGGUAGGUCUCUCUGUAGCUGCCAGGCUUAAUUGUAUCAUUAGCAUCUGCCUGCUGCCAGCCUGGGCCUGUCUGGUCCCCUCCCCGUCAGCCCACACAGCCCUGUUUUUCAGGAAUCCCUCCUAUGAGGCAUUGAUGGUGACAGUGACAGUGACCAUGAUGAGGCUGGGGAAAUGGCCUGGGAGCCAGCUGGCCUGGUCCAGGCGUGAGGUUGCUGGGUUGAGGCCUCACCACCCAGUCACAUCCGAGAUUUCACACCCAGCGCCAUCCCAGCUGCCUGCCUGGGACUGGAUGUACAGUGUUCCCACAUAGACCCAGAAGACAACACCCUUAUCCUGACCCUCAGGGAGCCUUUCCCACGAGGGGACUUUGGCCCAUGCCUCCUGCCUCCUCAGGGCUCUUCUUGCAGCAUUGUCCACAGAACACUAGGUCUGCCA